RNAcentral lists this ribosomal RNA (308 nucleotides) under uncultured Sulfurimonas sp. Its description in RNAcentral is "bacterial SSU rRNA". It matches the Rfam family "Bacterial small subunit ribosomal RNA", at positions 29 to 334 of the family's 1533-position model. Lineage: Bacteria; Pseudomonadati; Campylobacterota; Epsilonproteobacteria; Campylobacterales; Sulfurimonadaceae. The record is from RNAcentral.
AGUGAACGCUGGCGGCGUGCUUAACACAUGCAAGUCGAACGGUAACAGCAGAGCUUGCUCUGGCUGACGAGUGGCGCACGGGUGAGUAAUAUAUAGUUAAUGUGCCCCGAAGACUGGGAUAGCCACUGGAAACGGUGAUUAAUACUAGAUAGUCCUGUUUAACAUAAGUUAAAUUGGUAAAUGUCUUUUCGCUUCGGGAUCAGACUAUAUCCUAUCAGCUAGUUGGUGAGGUAAGAGCUCACCAAGGCAAUGACGGGUAGCGGGUUUGAGAGGAUGAUCCGCCACACUGGUACUGAGACACGGACCAG